UACAGAGGUCUCAAGCGUUGUUCGGAUUCAUUGGGCGUAAAGGGUGCGUAGGUGGCGGGGUAAGUCAGAUGUGAAAUCUCAGGGCUCAACCCCGAAACUGCAUUUGAUACUGCUUUGCUAGAGUACUGGAGAGGAGAUUGGAAUUUACGGUGUAGCAGUGAAAUGCGUAGAUAUCGUAAGGAAGACCAGUGGCGAAGGCGAAUCUCUGGACAGUUACUGACACUGAGGCACGAAGGCCAGGGGAGCAAACGGG
RNAcentral lists this ribosomal RNA (253 nucleotides) under uncultured bacterium. Its description in RNAcentral is "partial 16S ribosomal RNA". It matches the Rfam family "Bacterial small subunit ribosomal RNA", at positions 524 to 776 of the family's 1533-position model. The record is from RNAcentral.